GGGCAGGGCCGAGAGGCUGGGCAGCCAGUUUCACCCUCGCACGGGGUACCUGGCAAGGCCAGCAGCCAGCCGGAGGUGACGUCCUCAGUGGAGAACUGUGGACACUGGAAACCGUGUGGCCAGAAGGGGAAACGAUCAGGCCUCCGGUGGAGACCAGCCUGGGUGGGGUCUGCCAGGGUCAGCUGUCUUUGCUUCAUGCCGGGACAGAGAUGUGUGUGUGUGACAAAGCAUUUGAUAGCACGCCAAAAGCUUCCUCCAUUGAGCGCGUGUGAAGUGUCUGACCGGGUCGGAAGCCUUCUUGUUCUGAGCGCAUGUGUUCACGCAGACAGAGGUGCGGGGGCCCCGUUCUGCCCUCGCGCAGCUGAACUGAAAGGCCUCCCGCUCGCUCAUCGGGCUGGCGGCUCGGCCACAAAGUGCAUCCGGCGUGCCUCUGGGACUCCGCUUCGUGCUGUAUCCCACGGUGGCCCAGGCGCGUUGGGGUUAGACGGGUACCGGUCAGAUGCACAGGUGCCCCACACCCCUGCUGUGGCUUCGGCAGUAGAGACAGGAGGCACCCACGUGACAACAGGAACACAGGCAGGGGUGUUGGGGCAGCCCUCAGGGUCUCCAGACCCCCGCCCAAUACCCACAGCAGCCCAGGAAGGGAGGGCAGAGUCCCAGGUGUCACCGGCCAGGGAGCUCCCAGGAGCUGCCCCUCCCUGAAGUCACGGGACAGGAAUGACAGGUCAGAGGACUGCCAGAAGCUGCCACCCCUGUGAUCACAGCGUUGCCCAGGCUGCAGGGGCUCUAUCAUGGGGUCUGCGAGAGCCAGCCUGCCUGCCUUGUGCUCACACCUGGCUUUGCUCUCUGCAGAACCCAGCACAUGUGAUUUUGUGUGACACGCCGACAGCCGGGCUGCCAGGACAGGAGGCCUGCCCUGGAGGAGUGGCUGCAGGAGACGGCGGGGUGGGCACCUGGGAGCCCGUCCAGCCUGGUCCCAAAGGCAUCGCCGACCCUGCCGUCCUGAUUUCAGCUCCCUGCAGAGUAAAUCAGAAUAAACCGCACCCAGGCGUUCACGAACGAACACACGUCAAGGCUUGCAGUUCACCUCUGUCUUUGCUAACUUCAUCCUAUUUUCUUCUAACGUGAGAGCUUAUUAAUUCAAUAUUUGUGUUUUUGAAUAACUUUUCUCCUUUUUAGUAACUAAAAUCACUAUUAGUAAAAUGCAUUUACUAUUUUAGUAACAGAAAUAUACUUACCAAUCAUGUUUAAAAUACAGUGAUGUGGAAAAUUCA
Molecule: non-coding RNA, 1274 nt
Organism: Saimiri boliviensis boliviensis (Bolivian squirrel monkey)
Lineage: Eukaryota; Metazoa; Chordata; Mammalia; Primates; Cebidae
Source: RefSeq, a predicted model, not a curated record